Long non-coding RNA from Vespula pensylvanica (western yellowjacket), 585 nucleotides. RefSeq lists it as uncharacterized. The record is from RefSeq and is a predicted model, not a curated record. NCBI's taxonomy places the organism in Eukaryota, Metazoa, Arthropoda, Insecta, Hymenoptera, Vespidae. The transcript is spliced from 2 exons.
GAAACGAUAUUUUCCCAAAAAUUGUGUGGGAAAUUUUUGAAAUUACUAGAGAUAAUUUAUUCAGUAUAAAAUGUGUUUUUGCAUCAAUAGGAUUAUUUUAUUUAACGCAUCGCUAUUUUCUUUCCAAUUUAUGGUACACAAUGGAAGAUACAUAUAACUUUUUUUGCAGUACUUUACUUUUACAUACCGUUUCGGUUAGUUCGUUUGUAUUGAUAUAUAGAGUGUAUGCUAUUAGAAUAGAAUAUAUCAGUAUAUGUAUCAUUAAACGUUGUUAUUACGAAUUGGUUUUAUGAAAAAACCAAACGUAAAUUAUUUUAUCUUAAUGUAUCUCUAUAUGUAUUAUUCAUAUUUAGAAUCCACCUAAGUCUGAUGAGAUAUUUAAUUUAGACGAAUGCAAAUUAUUAUUCGAAGUCUUUCAUACAGUGUAUAUGGAAAAUCUUGCAUUACUUCGACUUGCUUGCUUACCACGUUAUAAUCUUAAAAUGAGUUUAGACGGUGUAACCACUUAUCUAGCAGCAUGACUUAUCAUCUUUGUACUAUUUAUAAAUCCAUUGAUAAUUAAGAAAAAUAAAGUAAUUCUUUUUA